This 252-nucleotide ribosomal RNA is filed under the name uncultured prokaryote. RNAcentral describes it as "partial 16S rRNA". It matches the Rfam family "Archaeal small subunit ribosomal RNA", at positions 475 to 726 of the family's 1478-position model. The record is from RNAcentral.
ACCGGCGGCUCAAGUGGUGGCCAUUAUUAUUGGGCUUAAAGCGUUCGUAGCUGGUUUGUUAAGUCUCUGGGGAAAUCUUGCGGCUCAACCGGGGGGCGUGUUAGGGAUACUGGCAGACUUGAGAUCGGGAGAGGUGAGGGGUACUCCAAGGGUAGGAGUGAAAUCCUGUAAUCCUGGGGGGACCACCUGUGGCGAAGGCGUCUCACCAGAACGGCUCUGACAGUGAGUAACGAAAGCUAGGGGAGCAAACCG